Molecule: long non-coding RNA, 345 nt
Organism: Amphibalanus amphitrite
Lineage: Eukaryota; Metazoa; Arthropoda; Thecostraca; Balanomorpha; Balanidae
Exons: 3
Source: RefSeq, a predicted model, not a curated record
CCACAUGUGGCAGACAAGACGAAAUCGCGUCCUGCACGCCUGCACGAAAUCGCGUCAGUGCACGGAGCAACGACUCUUGAGUCCUGACUGACAUAUAGCUUGGAAGGUCCGGGAAUAAAGGCAUUUUACAAGACUGGAUACAAUGAGACUCACAUCUGCUCUGGAUGACGUCCCCAUUGCGGUAGAUGAGGUGCCCGUCCUCAUCAUCUUCUACGUGGUCCUGCGACACCUGACGACAGCGAGGGACUACAGGUCAGACUGGAGUGUUUGUAAAUCCGAGCAGUGGAAGGUGGAAAGACUGGACUCCGCGCAUACAUACGGUGAUAUGCAUAAGUGGCUGACAAC